GAUCCUGGCUCAGGAUGAACGCUGGCGGCGUGCCUAACACAUGCAAGUCGAACGAGGUAAAUAAGAGGAAGUUUUCGGAUGGAAUCGUAUUUACCGAGUGGCGGACGGGUGAGUAACGCGUGGAUAACCUGCCUCAUACAGGGGGAUAACAGUUUAGAAAUGACUGCUAAUACCGCAUAAGCGCACAGUACCGCAUGGUACGGUGUGAAAAACUCCGGUGGUAUGAGAUGGAUCCGCGUCUGAUUAG
Molecule: ribosomal RNA, 247 nt
Filed under: uncultured bacterium
Lineage: Bacteria
Description: partial 16S ribosomal RNA
Rfam family: Bacterial small subunit ribosomal RNA
Source: RNAcentral